CAAUAUUACAAUGAACGAGAUGCUGCAUCCUGGCCCACACCCCAGAGUAGGAGGGGUAGUGACUCACUGUGACUAGUAUUAGAAAGAAGACAUGUCCCACUUCCAGGGUUAGAUCAUGGCAACUUCAAGUACAACUGAACUUAAAACCUCUAUGAGUCCAUUUACUGUUUCCAUGGCAGUGCAGAAUUUGUGAAUGUUUGCAGUGUCUUUCACAUUCAUUUCCAGCACGUGAACUGACUGAUUCCUUGUUUCUCAAUUACAACCAUCUUGGAAUCAAGAUUAAUAACUUGCUUGGAAAACAACAUCAUAGCAAUCAGAGGCUUGA
RNAcentral lists this long non-coding RNA (325 nucleotides) under Cricetulus griseus (Chinese hamster). RNAcentral's name for it is "lncRNA (ENSCGRG00015037545.1)". The record is from RNAcentral. Lineage: Eukaryota; Metazoa; Chordata; Mammalia; Rodentia; Cricetidae.